Oncorhynchus keta (chum salmon) is the source of this 258-nucleotide long non-coding RNA. RefSeq lists it as uncharacterized. NCBI's taxonomy places the organism in Eukaryota, Metazoa, Chordata, Actinopteri, Salmoniformes, Salmonidae. The transcript has 3 exons. The record is from RefSeq and is a predicted model, not a curated record.
CCACUCCAGCCUACCUCUAAGGUUAUCCAACACUUCAACAGUCUUCUCCACUCCAGCCUACCUCUAAGGUUAUCCAACACUUCAACAGUCUUCUCCACUCCAGCCUAGCUCUAAGGUUAAAUCAACACCUAAACAGUCUUCUCCACUCCAGCCUACCUCUAAGGUUAUCCAACACUUCAACAGUCUUCUCCACUCCAGCCUACCUCAAAGGUUAAAUCAACACUUCAACAGUCUUCUCCACUCCAGCCUACCUCUAAG